RNAcentral lists this ribosomal RNA (885 nucleotides) under Foraminifera sp. Its description in RNAcentral is "SSU rRNA". It matches the Rfam family "Eukaryotic small subunit ribosomal RNA", at positions 1160 to 1791 of the family's 1831-position model. The record is from RNAcentral. Lineage: Eukaryota; Foraminifera.
AAGGGCACCACAAGAACGCGUGGAGCAUGUGGCUUAAUUUGACUCAACGCGGGAAAACUUACCGGGUCCGGACACACUGAGGAUUGACAGGCGAGAGUAUAUACUUUUGUUAUACUCGCUACAUAUGUAAGUCCUUUCAUGAUUGUGUGAUAGGUGGUGCAUGGCCGUUCUUAGUUCGUGGAGUGAUCUGUCUGCUUAAUUGCGUUUCAGAUAUAUAAAGGCAAGCUUAUCUUAUUGCGAGGUACGUCAAAUUUCACUUCGGUGAUUUGCUACUGAGCAGGCUGCCUUUUGAAAGCAACGAACGUGACCUCAGCUCAAUGUUAUCUCAUAUGAGACCAACUUUGAGGACCGCCAGAGUUGUCAACUCGGAGGAAGGUUGAGGCAAUAACAGGUCUGUGAUGCCCUUAGAUGUUCCGGGCUGCACACGUGCUACAAUGAUUGUUGCAGAAAGUAUCUGCUCUACUUAUAUACACUUGGCAUUCGUGCCUCGUGUAUGUGUGUAAUUUUAUUACACACUCAACCUGUCUCGAAAGUACGACAGGCAAUCAAUUCCAAGUAACAAUCUCUAUUUAUACUAGCACAAGUCAAAGGAAGUGCGGUCAACUCAUAUUUUAUAUAUGUUUUGCCCUCUUCCGUGCUCCAAUUGAAUUCGUGGUCGGGACAGACCAUUGUGUAAUUGUUGGUCUCGGUCUCAACUAGGAAUGCCUUGUACGGGUCUUUGGUUCAACAAACCACCCGGAAUACGUCCCUGCCCUUUGUACACACCGCCCGUCGCUCUUACCGAUGGACUAUUCUGUGAGUUUAAGGGACUGGCAUAUACAAGUCUUAUUCUUGUUGGCUAUGGAAACUUAAACGAACAGUGUGGUCUAAAGGAAAGAGAAGUCG